AGUGGCGAACGGGUGAGUAACACGUGAGUAACCUGCCCCCUUCUUCUGGAUAACCGCAUGAAAGUGUGGCUAAUACGGGAUAUUCUGCGCCUGCUGCAUGGUGGGUGUGGGAAAGAUAUUGUUCGGUGGGGGAUGGGCUCGCGGCCUAUCAGCUUGUUGGUGGGGUGAUGGCCUACCAAGGCGGUGACGGGUAGCCGGCCUGAGAGGGUGGACGGUCACACUGGGACUGAGACACGGCCCAG
Molecule: ribosomal RNA, 242 nt
Filed under: uncultured bacterium
Lineage: Bacteria
Description: partial 16S ribosomal RNA
Rfam family: Bacterial small subunit ribosomal RNA
Source: RNAcentral